Molecule: ribosomal RNA, 482 nt
Filed under: uncultured bacterium
Lineage: Bacteria
Description: partial 16S ribosomal RNA
Rfam family: Bacterial small subunit ribosomal RNA
Source: RNAcentral
GAUGAACGCUAGCGGCAGGCCUAAUACAUGCAAGUCGGACGGGCUUCCGGAGCUUGCUUCUGUUGAGAGUGGCGCACGGGUGCGUAACACGUAUGUAACCUACCUUUAUCUGGGGGAUAGCCUCCCGAAAGAGAGAUUAAGCCCGCAUAAAAACACAGUACAGCCUUGUGUACUGAUCAAAUAUUUAUCGGUUAAAGAUGGGCAUGCGGAACAUUAGCCGGAGGGCGAGGUAACGGCCCACCAUGGCGUCGAUGGUGAGGGGUUCUGAGAGGAGGGCCCCCCACACUGGUACUGAGGCACGGACCAGACUGCUACGGAAGGGAGCAGUAACGAAUAUAGUGCAAGGGACGGAAGCCGGAACCAGCCGUGCCGCGUACAGAAAGACGGCCCUACGGGUUGUAAACUGCUUUUAAACGGGAAUAAACCCAGAUACGAGUAUCCGGCUGAAUGUACUGUAAGAAUAAGGAUCGGCUAACUCCGUG